UACGAAGGGGGCUAGCGUUGCUCGGAAUCACUGGGCGUAAAGCGCACGUAGGCGGAUUGCUAAGUCAGGGGGUGAAAUCCUGGAGCUCAACUCCAGAACUGCCUUUGAUACUGGCGAUCUUGAGUCCGGGAGAGGUGAGUGGAACUGCGAGUGUAGAGGUGAAAUUCGUAGAUAUUCGCAAGAACACCGGUGGCGAAGGCGGGUCUCUGGGCCGAUACCGACGCUGAGGAGCGAAAGCAUGGGUAGCGAACAGG
This 254-nucleotide ribosomal RNA is filed under the name uncultured bacterium. RNAcentral describes it as "partial 16S ribosomal RNA". It matches the Rfam family "Bacterial small subunit ribosomal RNA", at positions 524 to 776 of the family's 1533-position model. The record is from RNAcentral.